GAUCAUGGCUCAGGACGAACGCUGGCGGCGUGCCUAACACAUGCAAGUCGAACGGAGUCGGCCCCGCAAGGGACUGACUUAGUGGCGAACGGGUGAGUAACGCGUGAGCAACCUGCCUUUCAGUGGGGGACGAACAGUUGGAAACGACUGCUAAUACCGCAUAAUGCAUUUUGACCGCAUGAUCGAGAUGCCAAAGAUUUAUUGCUGAAAGAUGGGCUCGCGUCUGAUUAG
This 231-nucleotide ribosomal RNA is filed under the name uncultured bacterium. Its description in RNAcentral is "partial 16S ribosomal RNA". It matches the Rfam family "Bacterial small subunit ribosomal RNA", at positions 15 to 244 of the family's 1533-position model. The record is from RNAcentral.